AACAACUCCAGUUGUCCAGUGUUUGAUUUGUAAAACAGUUUCAGAAACAGGUCAAACUGGAGGUAAGGGACAGGACAA
This 78-nucleotide microRNA precursor is filed under the name Medicago truncatula (barrel medic). RNAcentral's name for it is "MIR5286 microRNA precursor family". It matches the Rfam family "MIR5286 microRNA precursor family". The record is from Rfam by way of RNAcentral. Lineage: Eukaryota; Viridiplantae; Streptophyta; Magnoliopsida; Fabales; Fabaceae.